This 526-nucleotide ribosomal RNA is filed under the name uncultured bacterium. Its description in RNAcentral is "partial 16S ribosomal RNA". It matches the Rfam family "Bacterial small subunit ribosomal RNA", at positions 899 to 1397 of the family's 1533-position model. The record is from RNAcentral.
ACUCAAAUGAAUUGACGGGGACUUGCACAAGCGGUGGAUCAUGUGGUUCAAUUCGACGACAAACGAAAAACCUUACCAGGGUUAGAAAUCCAAGCGAAGACUAGUAGAAACAUUAGUCGUCUCACAAGGACGGUUGGACAGGUGCUGCAUGGUUGUCGUCAGUUCGUGGUUUGAAUUGUUCCCUUAAGUGGGGUAACGAACGCAACCCUCGUUGCCUGUUAUAAGUGUCAGGCGAGACUGCCCAGCUUUUUGCGCAGAAACAUCGAAAGAUGUUUGUGAAUAAAAAGCUGGGAGGAAGGUGAGGAUGACGCCAAAUCAGCAUGGCCCUCUGAUACCCUGGGCUACACACGUGAUACAAUCGCCGCUACAACACGUUGCGACGGGGAAACCCCGAGCCAAUCGUUAGAAAAGCGGCGCCAGUUCGGAUUGGAGUCUGCAACCCGACUCCAUGAAGCCGGAAUCGCUAGUAAUCGCGGAUCAGCACGCCGCGGUGAAUACGUUCUCAAGUCUUGUACACACCGCCCGU